UGUAGCAGUUUUGUUCCCACUGCAAGAAAUUUGCAGCCCAAUCAGAUUGCUGCGUUCAAGUGGGAAACCUUACAGCUCAAUUUAGCUGACAAGGCGAGCUGGGACACUGUAUUUCUCUGGAGAAUGCAGAAACAGCUCCUGCUGGAUAUCUAGGCUACUAGAAAAGAAGCAUAGUCUAUCUUAGCAUCUAUGAAUGAAGCUUGAACAGUAUGUAUUAAUUAAUUAAAAGGACUUGUCUUUGUUUUAAGUUUUGUUGUGCUACCAAUAAGAUUAGAUCAUUAGUUUGGACAAAACCUGUGUUAUGUAUGCCUUCUUUGGUCUUCGAAAAGCUUCUCAGAAGCCUUGGGGUAGUCUUAUAGCUGGCUGUACCUCUCCUUGUGCUAGAUGUCUAACUAUUAUGAAAAAGUUUAUUUCUGCCUGUACUAAAUCUUAUAUUACAGGCUACAGUAUUCUUCUACUUUCUCUAAGAGUCUGAGGUCUUUCUUGAAUUCCAAAACAACUAUAGCUAGAUCCAGUCAGCUAGAAUAGCCAUCCAAAUAGUUAAUUGAUUUCUUUAUAUCGCACCCCUGAGCCAUGCGGUUGUCAGCCACUUAAAGAUUAAACAAUAUUCAUACUCUGUCUCAAGUACCGGUGGAACAAAACUGCUAUGUGUACUGAUACCCAACCCUAGCCUCGUUCCCAGGCCUUACUUUUUCUUGCUGUUGUCACUGUUCAUCCAUAAAUCACAAGAAAGACAUAGUGAGGCAGCAAAGAAAGAAAUGGGCGUACAGUUAAGAAAAAAGUAAGUCUCCUUUUUCCUAACUCUACGUCUAUUUCUUUCUUUAUUCCUUCAAUUAAUACCGUAUUUUAUCUCAUUGAACGAUUAAGACAGUAUUUUAUCUUAUUGAACGAUUGUGAUAAAGAACAGAAAAAGGAGAGCCUGUGUAGAGGCUAACCCAACCCAGAGCGCAGCGUUGGUUGGACUCCGCCCAACUAGGAGGGAGGUAACCAGAAACAAGACAUUGAUUAACAUUGGCCUUAUUAUUUUGUGAGAUUUUGUUGGCCUGGAAAGAAAAAAACCCUUCUACCCUCCCUCCAGAAUGCAAUACCUGGCAAGCCGAAACUUACUGAGUAUGCUGAAGAAAAGAAGACAAAAGAAUACCCCUCUUCUCUACACCCCUACACGUCACCGCCCUCGUAAAUGUUAUCGGCUGUUCCGGCUAUAUAUACACCCUUGUAUACCUCACCAGCUUCUCUCCAUCUAAGACUGUCUGAUUAGAGUGCUAAACUAAUCAUAAUUAUAGCUAUAAUAAUCAUUUUUAUCGUGUAAGUUUUUGUUAAUAUUGUUCGGUUUGAUCCCACUCGUUUUACACUUAAAAA
Molecule: long non-coding RNA, 1359 nt
Organism: Halichondria panicea
Lineage: Eukaryota; Metazoa; Porifera; Demospongiae; Suberitida; Halichondriidae
Exons: 2
Source: RefSeq, a predicted model, not a curated record